CGGCAAAAGCUCAAAUUUGAAAUCUGGCUCCUUUAGGGGUCCGAGUUGUAAUUUGCAGAGGAUGCUUCGGGAGCGGCCACGGCUUAAGUGCCUUGGAACAGGACGUCAUAGAGGGUGAGAAUCCCGUCUUGAGUCGUUGGUCCGCGCCCAUGUGAAGCUCCUUCGACGAGUCGAGUUGUUUGGGAAUGCAGCUCUAAGCGGGUGGUAAAUUUCAUCUAAAGCUAAAUAUUGGCCGGAGACCGAUAGCGCACAAGUAGAGUGAUCGAAAGGUUAAAAGCACCUUGAAAAGGGAGUUAAACAGCACGUGAAAUUGUUGAAAGGGAAGCGCUUGCGGCCAGACUCGGGUACAGGGUUCAGCGGGUGCGUGUCACCCGUGUACUCCCUGUUUCUCGGGCCAGCAUCAGUUCUGACGGCCGGUCAAAGGCCUCUGGAAUGUGU
This 438-nucleotide ribosomal RNA is filed under the name Arthroderma sp. 6762-S4. Its description in RNAcentral is "eukaryotic LSU rRNA". It matches the Rfam family "Eukaryotic large subunit ribosomal RNA", at positions 99 to 539 of the family's 3401-position model. The record is from RNAcentral. Lineage: Eukaryota; Fungi; Ascomycota; Eurotiomycetes; Onygenales; Arthrodermataceae.